CACCUUUUAACCCUCUAAAAAUAUCUAUUUGCUGCAAAAACUCCAAAUCUAUUUUUACCUGGCACUCUACUACUUCACCCACCUAACAAAACUUGUUUCACUAUUUUAGUACCUUUCCACAAUUUCUGGCACAAAUAAACAGACAUCAGACAAAAGAAAAUACUAAAUAUAUAAACAGCUGUGGGCAAGAACUGACUCAACUGGCCCAACUCUAAACAACACCAGCAGUCAAGCAGUGCUUACGGCUUUAGGCUCCAGCUUCGCGCUCCCUCUGCGCGCUGGCUGCAACGCCAAACUCCGGCAACAACAACACGGAACACGACGCAGUAGAGUUCCAAUCAGCAACUGGGUAGCAUCAGUGGCUCACCACGAAGCGGAACAACCCAUGAGCGUGCUCGCAACCAGCUCCAGACUAGGUCCGCCAUGGUGAGGUCAUUCCAGACGGUGUUCACCGACGGCGCCACGGCGUUCUCCAAGUCCUGGCCACGGAGGGGCGAGACGCCGGCAGCGUGAUCACAAUUUCAAAGACAACGACAACAAACGGCAGUCUCGGACAGCGGCGUAAUCUGGUUUUACACGAACGUGGGGCACAGACAUGGGAAACAUGUCGGUGAGUUGGCUAGAAACUAGAAGACGGCCGAGAAACACCUUAGGCGAGUUUGGUCACGGCGACAUAGAGAUAACAAAGAUUGUCCACCCACUGGUCACGGUGAAGCUUAUCCCAGGGGGAACUACAUACAAGCACUACCAACAGCUUACACGAGCAUGGACACGCGACUUUAUUACAUAAGCACCACGCAGGAUCAGUACACGACGAAACAACAGACUUGGGCUCGUAGUGGUCAAACCAGAGACAACAAGCAAGGUGGGUGCCGUCUUGGAUAAGCUCAGGUCCAUCCUAGGCGUAGAUAUUUGGAACCUUAAUACACUCGCUUACCCCUGGUGCCAAAACUCACCCACAUCCCAAUCUAACCGGCAGCAACUGGAACAUAGCAGUAGUGGAUAAGCUCCGUACUGGUCUCUUCUUAGAUCACUAAACCAAGCUCCAAACCUAAUGAGUUUGAACUCACACUGACCACCUGCACCUUUCCGAUUCACUCCCCUUUAUCUUACUAUUUUCAAAGGCAACAGGUCAACCAAGGCUAACAAAGUAUGCUCACAAAACAAAACUCUACCAACUCACUAUAGAAAUUCAGGGUUAAAAGCACACAGAUCAAAAGUUGCUAUGCCCCAAAAUCCCUCCAAACUCACUGAACUUUCUGUUUCAGUUAUCUGAAACAAGAACCUGAUAAGGAACAUUUUGAGACAAUUUACCCCCAAUUUUGUACAGCACCAAGGCACACCCACUUCAAGAGACUUGUUCACCUUGAUAUGGUAUUUCAUUUUUAUAUAGAAUUUUUAACCCAAAUAUCCUUGGUUUAAUUACCACAAAGCUCCAAAGGUGGGUAAAAACACAUAGAUUCAGACUUAGAUGUUUUACUGUCUGAAAAUCCCCAACACCUGACAACUGAUCUUUAGGCAAAAAUUACUCUACUUUUUAUGCAGCACCAUGUUAAUCUCACCUUAUGAAACGUAUUCACCAUACUGUGGUCUCCAAGUUUCCUAUAGAAACUACAGUCUAAAACCACUCAUAUUGAUAACAAAACAGCUCCAAACUGAGCAACCUGCUGCAAUUCAAU
RNAcentral lists this long non-coding RNA (1679 nucleotides) under Zea mays. RNAcentral describes it as "drought responsive lncRNA". Lineage: Eukaryota; Viridiplantae; Streptophyta; Magnoliopsida; Poales; Poaceae. The record is from RNAcentral.